Molecule: ribosomal RNA, 322 nt
Filed under: uncultured bacterium
Lineage: Bacteria
Description: bacterial SSU rRNA
Rfam family: Bacterial small subunit ribosomal RNA
Source: RNAcentral
AGCGAACGUUAGCGGCGGGCUUAACACAUGCAAGUCGAACGAGAACGGUCCUUCGGGGCUUAUUAAAGUGGCGCACGGGUGCGUAACACGUAGGUAAUCUACCGUCGGGCGGGGGACAACAGGAGGAAACUCCUGCUAAUACCGCGUAAGACCACGACCACUACGGUGGAUGUGGGAAAAGAUAGCCUCUUCUUGAAAGCUAUCACCUGACGAUGAGCCUGCGGCCCAUCAGCUUGUUGGUAAGGUAACGGCUUACCAAGGCUAAGACGGGUAGCUGGUCUGAGAGGAUGAUCAGCCACACUGGAACUGAUACACGGUCCAG